This 495-nucleotide ribosomal RNA is filed under the name uncultured bacterium. Its description in RNAcentral is "partial 16S ribosomal RNA". It matches the Rfam family "Bacterial small subunit ribosomal RNA", at positions 30 to 507 of the family's 1533-position model. The record is from RNAcentral.
UGAACGCUGGCGGCGUGCCUAAUACGUGCAAGUCGAGCGAACGGAUGAGAAGCUUGCUUCUCUGAUGUUAGCGGCGGACGGGUGAGUAACACGUGGAUAACCUACCUAUAAGACUGGGAUAACUUCGGGAAACCGGAGCUAAUACCGGAUAAUAUUUUGAACCGCAUGGUUCAAAAGUGAAAGACGGUCUUGCUGUCACUUAUAGAUGGAUCCGCGCUGCAUUAGCUAGUUGGUAAGGUAACGGCUUACCAAGGCAACGAUGCAUAGCCGACCUGAGAGGGUGAUCGGCCACACUGGAACUGAGACACGGUCCAGACUCCUACGGGAGGCAGCAGUAGGGAAUCUUCCGCAAUGGGCGAAAGCCUGACGGAGCAACGCCGCGUGAGUGAUGAAGGUCUUCGGAUCGUAAAACUCUGUUAUUAGGGAAGAACAUAUGUGUAAGUAACUGUGCACAUCUUGACGGUACCUAAUCAGAAAGCCACGGCUAACUACGUG